RNAcentral lists this ribosomal RNA (411 nucleotides) under uncultured bacterium. RNAcentral's name for it is "bacterial SSU rRNA". It matches the Rfam family "Bacterial small subunit ribosomal RNA", at positions 32 to 423 of the family's 1533-position model. The record is from RNAcentral.
AAUCAACGCUGGCGGCGUGCCUCAGACAUGCAAGUCGAACGCGAAAGUUUCCUUCGGGGAACAAGUAGAGUGGCGCACGGGUGAGUAACACGUAGGUAAUCUACCUUUGGAUGGGGAAUAACAACCGGAAACGGUUGCUAAUACCGCAUAAUGCAGCGGCACCUAAUGGUGACAGUUGUUAAAGCGGGGGAUCGAAAGACCUCGCGUCUGAAGAGGAGCCUGCGGCGGAUUAGCAGUUGGUAAGGUAAUGGCUUACCAAGGCGACGAUCCGUAACCGGCCUGAGAGGGCGGUCGGUCACACUGACACUGACAUACGGGUCAGACUCCUACGGGAGGCAGCAGUCGGGAAUUUUGGGCAAUGGGCGGAAGCCUGACCCAGCAACGCCGCGUGAAGGAUGAAAUCCCUCGGGA